AGGGAAUAUUGCGCAAUGGGGGCAACCCUGACGCAGCGACGCCGCGUGAGCGAUGAAGGCCUUCGGGUCGUAAAGCUCUGUCGUAUGGGAAUAAAAAAAUGAAUGUACCAUACAAGAAAGGAUCGGCUAACUUCGUGCCAGCAGCCGCGGUAAGACGAGGGAUCCUAGCGUUGUUCGGAAUCAUUGGGCGUAAAGCGGGCGUAGGUGGCUAUUUAAGUCAGUUGUGAAAGCCUGAGGCUUAACCUCAGAAGUGCAAUUGAUACUAUUUAGCUUGAGUGUGGUAGAGGUAACUAGAAUUCCUGGUGUAGUGGUGAAAUACGUAGAUAUCAGGAGGAAUGCCGGUUGCGAAGGCGGGUUACUAGACCAACACUGACACUGAGGCCCGAAAGCGUGGGGAUCAAAC
This 403-nucleotide ribosomal RNA is filed under the name uncultured bacterium. RNAcentral describes it as "bacterial SSU rRNA". It matches the Rfam family "Bacterial small subunit ribosomal RNA", at positions 356 to 773 of the family's 1533-position model. The record is from RNAcentral.